RNAcentral lists this ribosomal RNA (321 nucleotides) under uncultured eukaryote. Its description in RNAcentral is "partial 18S ribosomal RNA". It matches the Rfam family "Eukaryotic small subunit ribosomal RNA", at positions 1470 to 1796 of the family's 1831-position model. The record is from RNAcentral.
CCCUUAGAUGUCCUGGGCCGCACGCGUGCUACACUGAUACGUGCAACAAGUAUUUUUCCUGGCUCGGAAGAGUUCGGGUAAUCUUGAUAAUGCGUAUCGUGCUAGGGAUAGAUCUUUGAAAUUAUGGAUCUUGAACGAGGAAUUCCUAGUAAGCAUAAGUCAUCAGCUUGUGCUGAUUACGUCCCUGCCCUUUGUACACACCGCCCGUCGCUGCUACCGAUUUUGAGUGAUCCGGUGAACCUUCUGGACUGUAUCGGGGCUUGACUCCGGCGUGGGAAAUUAAGUAAACCUUAUCACUUAGAGGAAGCAGAANUCGUANCA